UAAAAUUAAUUUCUCUAAAUAAGAAAUAAGAGUAUUUUAUUUGCAAUCGAUUUAAUUAAACUAAAAGCAUAUUUGUCAUGCGUUAUCAAGUUCAAAUUCAUAUAUUUAUGCAAAAUGGUGGAAAUGAGUUUAAAAAAGCAAAUAAUUUUCUCAUUUCUAAUAAAAUUAGUUUAUUUUUAUGAAAAAACAAUAGGCUUAUGUCCAUUUAUAAUUGACGAAAAUGGUUUUUUUAUUCAUUCAAAUUUGGGAACAAUUUAUUCAUUAAUACUUUGUAUUUUAUAUUGUGUCUUUUAUGUGCGUGCUUUAAUUGAUCGUAGUGUGACUAUUUUUCCCAUGGAAACUAUAAUUGCAGCAAUUGUUGCUACAUUUAUUGAUGGUAUGCAAUUUAUUAUAGUAAUAAUUGCAUGGUUGAUAUUUGCAUUUCGUCAAAAGAGGGUAUUAUUUAUUUUUGAAAAUUUUAAAAGAACAGAAAAAAUAGCUAGAAAAAUAGGAAUUAAAAAUGAAGGACAAAUGAUUAUUAAAAUGCUUUGUAUUCGUAUUAGUUUUGUAAAUAUUAUUUUUGGUGGAUUAUUUUUUUCAAAAAUCGCUUUAUCCUCGAUAUCACCAAUUUUUAAAUGGAUGAUUUGGAUACCAUUUGAAUUUCCACAUAUUAUUAUUCAUAAUUGGUUCACUUUAUUUAUAACUGCUUUGGAUAUAUUGGAAUUACGAUUUCAUAAAUUAAAUGUGAAUUUAUCGAUGAUUUAUCCGAGGAAACAUUUAAGAUCAUCAAAUUCCAUACCAUUGAUUCUCAAUUAUUUUGGUAAAUUACAUGUGGAAUUAAUGGAUCUGUGUGAAAUGAUUACGAAUUUUUUUGCCCCUAUUACUUUAAUGGCACUAUUAAUAUCAUUUUUACAAAUUGUAAAAAAUUCAUAUUUUGUUUGUUUAUUUAUGACUGACACAAAAGUUCAUAAAACAGGUGAUUUAAUAGCGACCAUGUAUGGUACUCUUUGGGUCAGUGUUUUAGUCUUGGAAUUUAUUUUCAUUGCAUUUUCUUCUGGAAAUAUUCGUGAUGAGGCAAACAAUACUGGUAAUGCACUUUUUAAAUUAUGGUUGUAUUAUAGGCCAGAAAAUUGCAAAAAAUCUAUUAUUAAAAUUUCACAUCAAUUAAUUCAAAGAAAACUCAAUAUAUCUUUAUAUGGAAUUAUUAAUUUGGAUUAUAAUUUUUUAUGCAGGAUUUGUGGAGCUAUAACAACAUAUCUCAUAAUUAUGUUACAAAUGGAUGAUGAUAAUGAUUAAUUUUAAUUUUACAAAAAAAGAAAAUGGUAAUUCUAAUUGUAAAUAAUAAUUUUUUGGGAAAAUUAAUAAUAAACUUAUCAAAUUAAAAUUAUGUUAAAUAAAAAUGUCUUUUAAAGUUAAAAAAAAAUGAAAUUAUUCGGAAAAUAUACACAAAAUAAAAAUGAGAAUUUAGAGUGUUAUUUUAAAUGGGACGUUUGUGUAGAAUGAUCAUUCUCUUCCCACUACUUCAAUCGACUGAAGGCCACUAAAGCGCGGUUUCAACGUAUUAUAUGUACAGUUUGAAUCAAACAACCUCUUGUGGUCUUUCAAGAAAACGUUCGCUUCCUUUAAAAUCACAAAUAAUUUCUUAGAUUCACAUUAAAAAAAAAGAAAAAUUUAUUUCUUAAAGUGUUAAAAUCUCCUAGUGCCAAAUAUGAAGCUUUUAAUAUUUGUUAUAAUUUCCACUGUUUUAGCCAUUGGCAACUGUACAACUUGUUAUCAAUGUAUAGAAGGUGACCAGGCUAAUGUGAUAGGAUCUUAUAAACCUUGUAAUAAAUUUUUAGAAAAUAACACCUGUAAUACAACUUCUUAUUCGAAUUCUUGUGUAACUUAUAAAUCUGAUU
This is an RNA transcript of Leptopilina boulardi, 1877 nucleotides long. RefSeq lists it as uncharacterized. The record is from RefSeq and is a predicted model, not a curated record. The transcript has 6 exons. Lineage: Eukaryota; Metazoa; Arthropoda; Insecta; Hymenoptera; Figitidae.